GAUGAACGCUAGCGGCAGGCCUAAUACAUGCAAGUCGAGCGGCAAGUCGAGGAGUGAUCUAAGACCUAGAGCGGCGCACGGGUGCGUAACGCGUAUGCAACCUACCUUAUACUGGGGGAUAGCCCGGAGAAAUCUGGAUUAAUACCCCAUGGCACAUAUUGAUGGCAUCUGAGUUCUGUUAAAGAUUUAUUGGUAUAAGAUGGGCAUGCGUCUGAUUAGCUAGUUGGCGGUGUAACGGACCACCAAGGAGACGAUCAGUAGGGGUUCUGAGAGGAAGGUCCCCCACACUGGCACUGAGAUACGGGCCAGACUCCUACGGGAGGCAGCAGUAGGGAAUAUUGGGCAAUGGUCGGAAGACGGACCCAGCCAUGCCGCGUGCAGGAAGAAGGCCCUCUGGGUUGUAAACUGCUUUUAUCUGGGAAGAAAAAGGCCAUGCGUGGCAAAUUGCCGGUACCAGAUGAAUAAGCACCGGCUAACUCCGUGCCAGCCGCCGCCGUAA
This 499-nucleotide ribosomal RNA is filed under the name uncultured bacterium. RNAcentral's name for it is "partial 16S ribosomal RNA". It matches the Rfam family "Bacterial small subunit ribosomal RNA", at positions 28 to 523 of the family's 1533-position model. The record is from RNAcentral.